AAUCAACGCUGGCGGCGUGCCUCAGACAUGCGAGUCGAACGAUUAAAGCUCUCUUCGGAGAGUGCAUAGAGUGGCGCACGGGUGAGUAACACGUAAGUAAUCUACCUUCGAGUGGGGAAUAACAUCGGGAAACCGAUGCUAAUACCGCAUAAUGCAGCGGCAUCAUAAGAUGACAGUUGUUAAAGAUUUAUCGCUUGAAGAGGAGCUUGCGGCAGAUUAGCUAGUUGGUAAGGUAAUGGCUUACCAAGGCUACGAUCUGUAACCGGUCUAAGAGGACGGUCGGUCACACUGAC
This 293-nucleotide ribosomal RNA is filed under the name uncultured bacterium. RNAcentral describes it as "partial 16S ribosomal RNA". It matches the Rfam family "Bacterial small subunit ribosomal RNA", at positions 32 to 317 of the family's 1533-position model. The record is from RNAcentral.